GUACACGAUGAUGUUAAUGAGAUGAGAUCAUGGAAACCUGCAAAAGAGGACAUAAUACAUUAAAACAAUCUGAGACAAUGCAAUAGAUUCAUCACUAAAGUGAGCCACCUGAACCAAUCAAAGAAGUUUAUGAGAGGUUUUGGUUUUAAAUCUCUACUAAGUUUCAUAGAAAGAAAGACAAGCUAUCUCUCUUUCCUGACCAUGCAAACUCAAAGGGUCUAGAGACCCAUCAGGCCUCAUACUCCAGAAGAGCAAAGCGUCCCUCUUCUUUGGCAGAACAGAGAGUCCUUCUUUACCGCAUUGUGAGAGCUCGUUCCACCAUGGGACAUCACUAAUAUUUCCUUUGGCCAAAGGGAAAACUGUCUCGCCACCUUCAUCAACAUCCGAGCUAAGGUACAUAAGGACAGUGGCUACUCGUUGCCCUCCCCUUUUGACGUUGAACUCAUCUGUGAAAUAGUCAUGGUGAGGCUCAUAUUUUUGCCCAACUUCAUAAUGUAGAACU
Molecule: long non-coding RNA, 502 nt
Organism: Raphanus sativus (radish)
Lineage: Eukaryota; Viridiplantae; Streptophyta; Magnoliopsida; Brassicales; Brassicaceae
Exons: 3
Source: RefSeq, a predicted model, not a curated record